This 433-nucleotide ribosomal RNA is filed under the name uncultured bacterium. RNAcentral's name for it is "partial 16S ribosomal RNA". It matches the Rfam family "Bacterial small subunit ribosomal RNA", at positions 29 to 507 of the family's 1533-position model. The record is from RNAcentral.
AACGAACGCUGGCGGCAUGCCUAACACAUGCAAGUCGAACGAGACCUUCCGGUCUAGUGGCGCACGGGUGCGUAACGCGUGGGAACUUGCCCUUAGGUUCGGAAUAAUUCCCUGAAAGGGGUCUUAAUACCGCAUAAUCUCUUCGGACAAAAGAUCUAUCGCCUUUGGAUGGGCCCGCGUUGGAUUAGCUGGUUGGUAGGGUAAAAGCCUACCAAGGCGAGGAUCCAUAGCUGGUCUGAGACGAUGACACGCCACGCUGGGACUGAGACACGGCCCAGACUCCUAGGAGAGGGAGGGGUGGGGAAUAUUGUGGGAUGAACGAAAACGUGAUAAAGCAGUGCCGCGUGAGUGAUGAAGGGCUUAGGAUUGUAAAGCUCUUUUAGCCGAGAUGAUAGUGACAGUACCGGGAGAAUAAGCACCGGCUAACUCCGUG